Molecule: small nucleolar RNA, 133 nt
Filed under: Pectinophora gossypiella (pink bollworm)
Lineage: Eukaryota; Metazoa; Arthropoda; Insecta; Lepidoptera; Gelechiidae
Source: RNAcentral
ACAUGGCCCGAUCGAAGCUGUGUAGAGUCUCUAUACUCUGUUCAGUCAACUCGCGGCCGACAGCAGUCUUGCAAUAAGGUCGCACGCGUGUUGAUACAACGCAUGAUGUGCAUUACCCAUUGCAAGGACAAAU